Molecule: ribosomal RNA, 1325 nt
Filed under: Metallyticus sp.
Lineage: Eukaryota; Metazoa; Arthropoda; Insecta; Mantodea; Metallyticidae
Description: 16S ribosomal RNA
Rfam family: Archaeal large subunit ribosomal RNA (bases 1086-1244)
Source: RNAcentral
UAUAAAUGAUUUUAUGUUAUUAUUUUUGUUAUGUGUUAUAUGAUGUUUUAUUAAAUAUAUUUUUGUUAUUGUAUUUAUUGAUUUAAUUAUUUUUAUUAUGGUGAAAUAGUACUGUGAAGGAAUAGAGUAUAUAAGGUUGUUUUUAAUAUUAAUUAAAGUUGAUUUAAUUUAUUUUAUCUUGAGUAUCAGAGUGGAUUAAUAUGAUUGAUUGAACUUUUUUAUCUCGAAUUUAAAAGAUUUAAUUGAAUAUAAUUGUUCAUUGUUUUAUAAAUGUCAUUAAUGUUUAAUUGGUAAUGAAAUGUUUUCGUUUUUAAGGAUAUCUAGUUUCUUAUUAAAUGAAUUUAAUUCAGAAAAUGUAAUUUAAUAUUAUUUGUUGAAAUGAAUAUUUUUUAUAUUUUUAAUUUUUUGUGGGAUUAGCUUGGAAAAAUAUUAACUAUAAAUGUGUUCUAUAUAAAUGUUGUUUAGGAAUUUAUAAAUUUAGGAGUUGUUAUUGAAUAGAGUGUGUUAAAAUUUAUUUUUAUGUUGUUGAAGAUUUUAUUUUAUUUUAGUGUGUUUAGUAAGAUUAGAGAUUGAAUUUAAUUUUUUUUGUAAUAAUGAUUUAAUUAGUAUAAGUUGUUGUGAAAAGUUGUUCUGAUUAUAAUUGUUAUAUUUUUAUGAAGAAUUAGGCAAAUUUCUGCCCGCCUGUUUAUUAAAAACAUGGUUUCUUGAUUAUUUGGGAGAUUUGACCUGCCCACUGGGAAUUGUAUUGAAGGGCCGCAGUAUUUUGACUGUGCGAAGGUAGCAUAAUCAUUAGUCUUUUAAUUGAAGGCUUGUAUGAAUGGUUGGACGAGGCAGUUUCUGUUUUAUUUAAAUUUAUUGAAUUUAAGUGUUAAGUAAAAAAUCUUAAAUGUUAUUAAGGGACGAGAAGACCCUAUAGAGUUUAAUGAUAUUUUGUUUUAUUUAUGUUAUAUAUUUUGGAGUUUUUAUUAUUAAAUUAUUAUUUAGUUGGGGUGAUUAGAAAAUAAAUGUAACUUUUCUUUUUUGUUAAUUAUGAUAAUUAGUUAAUAGAUCCAUUAAUAGUGAUUUUAAGAUUAAAUUACCUUAGGGAUAACAGCAUAAUUUUUUUUGAGAGUUCUUAUCGAGAAAAGAGAUUGUGACCUCGAUGUUGGAUUAAGAUAAAUAUUAAAUGCAGAUGUUUAAUUAUUAGGUCUGUUCGACCUUUGAAAUCUUACAUGAUCUGAGUUUAAACCGGUGUAAGCCAGGUUGGUUUCUAUCUUUAAUUAAAGAAAGGAUUUUAGUACGAGAGGACCAAAUUGUUUGAAAUAAUUUUAUUAAUUGUUUAAAUA